AUACUUACCUGGGAGGGGAGAUACCAUGAUCACAAAGGUGGUCUUCCCGGCGUGAGGCUCAUCCAUUGCACUGCGGGUGUGCUGACUCCUGCGAUUUCCCCAAAUGUGGGAAACUCGACUGCGAUUUGUGGUAGUGGGGGACUGCGUUCACGUUCUCCCCUG
RNAcentral lists this small nuclear RNA (162 nucleotides) under Echinops telfairi (small Madagascar hedgehog). Its description in RNAcentral is "U1 spliceosomal RNA (ENSETEG00000021460.1)". It matches the Rfam family "U1 spliceosomal RNA". Rfam says of the family: U1 is a small nuclear RNA (snRNA) component of the spliceosome (involved in pre-mRNA splicing). Its 5' end forms complementary base pairs with the 5' splice junction, thus defining the 5' donor site of an intron. The record is from RNAcentral. Lineage: Eukaryota; Metazoa; Chordata; Mammalia; Afrosoricida; Tenrecidae.